RNAcentral lists this ribosomal RNA (485 nucleotides) under uncultured bacterium. Its description in RNAcentral is "partial 16S ribosomal RNA". It matches the Rfam family "Bacterial small subunit ribosomal RNA", at positions 29 to 507 of the family's 1533-position model. The record is from RNAcentral.
AUUGAACGCUGGCGGCAUGCCUUACACAUGCAAGUCGAACGGCAGCACGGGUGCUUGCACCUGGUGGCGAGUGGCGAACGGGUGAGUAAUACAUCGGAACUUGUCCUGUAGUGGGGGAUAGCCCGGCGAAAGCCGGAUUAAUACCGCAUACGAUCUACGGAUGAAAGCGGGGGACCUUCGGGCCUCGCGCUAUAGGGUUGGCCGAUAGCUGAUUAGCUAGUUGGUGGGGUAAAGGCCUACCAAGGCGACGAUCAGUAGCUGGUCUGAGAGGACGACCAGCCACACUGGGACUGAGACACGGCCCAGACUCCGACGGGAGGCAGCAGUGGGGAAUUUGGAAAAAGGGGCGAAAGCCUGAUCCAGAAAGGCCGCGGGUGUGAAGAAGGCUUCGGGUUGUAAAGCACUUUUGUCCGGAAAGAAAUCCUUGGCUCUAAUACAGUCGGGGGAUGACGGUACCGGAAGAAUAAGCACCGGCUAACUACGUG